CUUGACCCCCAUAAGAGGUCCAGCCUGCCCAGUGACAAAUGUUUAACGGCCACGGUAUCCUAACCGUGCGAAGGUAGCGUAAUCACUUGUUCUUUAAAUGAGGACUAGUAUGAAUGGCAAUACGAGGGCUGCACUGUCUCCUUUUUUUGAUCUGUAAAACUAAUCUCCCCGUGAAGAAGCGGGGAUAUAUAUAUAAGACGAGAAGACCCUAUGGAGCUUUAAAUAAAAUAACAAUUGCUUUCCCCACACUAUUUUCAGAAUUUCUUUAUAAAACUCAGCACUUUGAUUACUAAUUUUAAGUUGGGGUGAUUACGGAGUAAAAACCAACCUCCGUGCUGAAAGGAUAUGUCCUGAGCAAAAAGUUACAACUUCAAGCACUAAAAAAUUAACACACAUUGACCCAAUUUUUUGAUCAACGAAC
This 421-nucleotide ribosomal RNA is filed under the name Boana ornatissima group sp. ABGD cluster 74. RNAcentral's name for it is "partial large subunit ribosomal RNA". It matches the Rfam family "Bacterial large subunit ribosomal RNA", at positions 1835 to 2457 of the family's 2925-position model. Lineage: Eukaryota; Metazoa; Chordata; Amphibia; Anura; Hylidae. The record is from RNAcentral.